Molecule: non-coding RNA, 6196 nt
Organism: Sus scrofa (pig)
Lineage: Eukaryota; Metazoa; Chordata; Mammalia; Artiodactyla; Suidae
Source: RefSeq, a predicted model, not a curated record
GCGACGGGUGGGCGGACGCCCGCCUUCGCCUGCAUCGCUGUCUUUCCCCCGGGCCGUUGUCCCCCGGGAUGUGAGGGCCGCAGCUCCGCCGGCGGGGCCUGGAGUGGAGCGGAGAGCGGACGCAGACGCUCCACCUACUUUGGCCUGAACCCAGCCUCCGAGGGCUAAAAAUAUUGCCCCGAGGCUCCUGAGCGGAAUCAGAUCGUGCUAAGUAGGGCACAAGGCUGCAGAGGCGACCGAGCUCUUCGGCCCCGGGGCUGGAGGAAGACUCCUGAGCAGCGGCUCCCACCUACGCUCGGCGGCUAGCGGUCUCGCUCAGCCCAGCAGGCAAGUGCGGGGCCGCAGUGGUUCUCUGAAGUUGCCCCACACCGAGCAGCCGCGCCUAGCUUCUCGCUACCCAUCAAUCACUGCUGGCUUCUCAGGGGGUCCUGUAAAUGCUUUAUAAGCAGUGGCCGAAAGUUACCCACUGAAGGAAUUAGAACUAUCAGGCAGAAGCCGUAGGGCUCUUCGUGUUAGAAACGUCAGCUGUGGCUUCUUUUUAAAUUCAUUCCAUGUUUCUGAAUGAGAGAGGAGCUGUGCCAGGCACUGUUUCUGGUUUGUGUGGAGGCCAGUAUGAAGCUGAAAAAGCAGGUGACAGUGUGUGGGGCUGCGAUCUUCUGUGUGGCGGUCUUCUCACUCUACCUCAUGCUGGACCGAGUGCAGCAUGAUCCCACCCGACACCAGAAUGGUGGCAACUUCCCCCGGAGUCAAAUUUCUGUGCUGCAGAACCGCAUUGAACAGCUGGAGCAGCUGUUGGAGGAGAACCAUGAGAUCAUCAGUCACAUCAAGGACUCCGUGCUGGAGCUGACUGCCAACGUGGAGGGCCCACCUGCCCUGCUGCCCUACUCUAUGGCCAAUGGCUCCUGGGUGGUGCCACCAGAGCCCCGGCCCAGCUUCUUCUCUGUCUCCCCUCAAGACUGCCAGUUUGCUCUGGGGAGCCGGGGCCAGAAGCCAGAGCUGCAGAUGCUGGCUCUAUCAGAGGAGUUACCAUUUGACAACUUGGACGGCGGCGUGUGGAAGCAAGGCUUUGACAUCUCCUACAGCCCACACGACUGGGACACCGAAGACCUGCAGGUGUUUGUGGUCCCCCACUCUCACAAUGACCCAGGCUGGCUCAAGACCUUUGACAAGUACUACACAGAACAGACCCAGCACAUCCUCAACAACAUGCUAUCCAAGCUGCAGGAGGACCCCCGGCGGCGAUUCCUCUGGGCUGAAGUUUCCUUCUUCGCCAAGUGGUGGGACAACAUCAAUGCCCAAAAAAGAGCCGCCGUCCGAAGGCUGGUGGGCAAUGGGCAGCUGGAGAUUGCGACAGGAGGCUGGGUGAUGCCAGACGAGGCCAACUCCCACUACUUCGCAUUGAUCGACCAGCUCAUUGAGGGACACCAGUGGCUGGAGAAAAACCUUGGUGCAACCCCGCGCUCAGGCUGGGCAGUGGACCCCUUUGGAUACAGCUCCACCAUGCCUUACCUGCUGCGCCGUGCCAACCUGACCAGCAUGCUGAUCCAGAGGGUGCACUACACCAUCAAGAAGCACUUCGCCGCCACCCACAGCCUGGAGUUCAUGUGGAGGCAGACCUGGGACUCGGACUCCAGCACGGACAUCUUCUGCCACAUGAUGCCCUUCUACAGCUACGAUGUCCCCCAUACGUGUGGCCCAGACCCCAAGAUCUGCUGCCAGUUCGAUUUCAAGCGCCUUCCCGGUGGGCGCAUCAACUGCCCUUGGAAGGUGCCACCCCGGGCUAUCACCGAGGCGAACGUGGCCGAGAGGGCAGGCCUGCUCCUGGACCAGUACAGGAAGAAGUCCCGGCUCUUCCGAAGCAACGUCCUCCUGGUGCCGCUGGGCGACGACUUCCGUUAUGACAAGCCCCAGGAGUGGGACGCCCAGUUCUUCAACUACCAGCGGCUCUUUGACUUCCUCAACAGCAAGCCUGACCUCCACGUGCAGGCUCAGUUUGGCACCCUCUCUGACUAUUUUGACGCUCUCUACAAGAGGACAGGGGUGGAGCCGGGGGCCCGGCCUCCCGGUUUCCCUGUGCUGAGUGGCGAUUUCUUCUCCUACGCGGACCGGGAAGACCAUUACUGGACAGGCUAUUACACUUCCCGGCCUUUUUACAAGGGCUUGGACCGUGUCCUGGAAGCCCACCUGCGGGGGGCAGAGAUUCUGUACAGCCUGGCUGUCGCCCACGCCCGCCGCUCUGGACUGGCUAGCCAGUACCCGCUCUCGAACCUGGCCCUUCUGACGGAAGCUCGGCGCACACUAGGGCUCUUCCAGCACCAUGAUGCCAUCACCGGCACCGCCAAGGAGGCAGUCGUGGUGGACUAUGGGGUCAGGCUUCUGCGCUCCCUUGUCAACCUGAAGCAGGUCAUCAUUAACGCAGCUCACUAUCUGGUGCUGGGGGACAAGGAAACCUACCACUUUGACCCUGAGGCUCCCUUCCUGCAAAUGGAUGACAGCCGCACAAAUCACGAUGCCCUACCAGAGCGCACAGUGAUCCAGCUGGAGUCUUCACCCAGGUAUGUGGUGCUGUUCAACCCACUGGAACAGGAGCGGCUCAGCCUGGUGUCCCUGCUGGUCAACUCGCCCCGGGUGCGGGUGCUUUCAGAGGAGGGUCAGCCCCUAGCCAUUCAGAUCAGCGUGCACUGGAGCUCUGCCACCGACCUGGUCCCCGACGUCUACCAGGUGUCUGUGCCUGUCCGCCUGCCAGCACUGGGCCUCAGCGUGCUGCAGCUGCAGCUGGGCCUGGAUGGGCCCCGCACCCUGCCCUCCUCCGUGCGUGUCUACCUUUAUGGGCGGCAGCUGUCUGUCAGCAGGCACGAGGCGUUCCCCAUACGCGUCAUCGACUCUGGCACCAGUGACUUUGCCCUCAGCAACCGCUAUAUGCAGGUCUGGUUCUCAGGCCUUACCGGGCUCCUCAAGGUAAAGGGCCAGGGGCUGGGAGCCGGAGGACAGCUUGCGUGUCGGGGGGUUGUGCCGAGCUGCCUCCCGACUGACAGUGGACCCGGGAGCGGGCCGUCCUGGCCUCAAGCUGACAGCACAGGAAAGCUGGGCUUGACCCCUUGGGGAAGUUCGUCCACGCCCUCCCAGGGGGCAGGCCUGACAUGCUGGCGUGGGGCCAGGGGUCAGGGCUGUGUUUUUUGGCAGAGCAUCCAAAGAGUGGACGAGGAGCAGGAGCGGCGGGUGGAUACGGAGUUCCUCAUCUAUGGCACCCGCACGUCCAAAGACAAGAGCGGAGCCUACCUCUUCCUGCCUGAUGGCGAGGCCAAGCCCUACGUCCCCAAGGACCCGCCUGUGCUGCGCAUCACGGAGGGCCCCUUCUUCUCAGAGGUGGUUGCCCACUACGAGCACGUUCACCAGAUAGUUCGGCUUUAUAACCUGCCAGGGGUGGAGGGGCUGUCUCUGGACAUGUCCUUCCUGGUGGACAUCCGGGACUACAUCAACAAGGAGCUGGCCCUGCGCAUCCACACAGACAUCAACAGCCAGGCUACCUUCUUCACGGACCUCAACGGCUUUCAGGUGCAGCCCCGGCGGUUUUUGAAGAAGCUGCCCCUGCAGGCCAACUUCUACCCCAUGCCGGUCAUGGCCUACCUCCAGGACGCUCAGAACCGCCUCACGCUGCACACCGCCCAGGCCCUGGGUGUCUCCAGCCUCCGUAGUGGCCAGCUGGAGGUGAUCUUGGACCGGCGCCUAAUGCAGGAUGACAACCGGGGCCUGGGCCAGGGGCUCAAGGACAACAAGAGAACCUGUAACCAUUUCCGCCUCCUGCUGGAACGGCGAACCCCGGUCAGGGAGGUUCACGAUGGCCUCCCUACCAGCUACCCGUCCCUCCUCAGCCACCUGACCUCCAUGUACCUGAACACCCCUGUGUUCGCCCUGCCCGUGGCCAAGAAGCAGCCCCCAGGUCUUGCUUUGCGCUCAUUUCACCCUCUGGCAUCCUCACUGCCCUGUGACUUCCACCUGCUCAACCUGCGUUCGCUCCAGGCCAAGGAUGAAAAUGUGCCCGCAGCAGAAACAGCACUCAUCUUACACCGCAAGGGUUUUGACUGUGGCCUGGAGGCCAAGAACUUGGGCUUCAACUGCACCACAAGCCAAGGCAAGUUCCAUAUACAGGUGGAGAACUCUGUCAAACAAAUGGAAACACCAGAAAUUAAAAAAGCCGGGGAGUUCCUGUCGUGGCGCGGUGGUUAACAAAUCCGACUAGGAACCAUGAGGUUGCGGGUUCGGUCCCUGCCCUUGCUCAGUGGCCCUGGGGAGCCUUUUCCAUGGGCUGGACGUGCUUUUCCUGCAGCCAACCUCCUUGACUUUGCUGUACCCUCUGGCCUCACCGUCCAACAGCACUGACAUCUUUGUGGAGCCCAUGGAGAUCGCCACCUUCUGCCUCCGCCUGGGCUAGGGCUUCUCGUGGCCUGAAGAGAAGCUCCAUCCACAGAGACUGCCUCUUCCAAGAAGGUCGGGCUGGGCCAGCCGCCUCGGGUAUCCCUUCCCGAUCUACCUCUCAGAACCGCGACAGACUGGGCUCUGCCCUCAAUUUCUGUUUCUCGUUGCUUCUGCAUUUGGGGGCAACCCACAAGCGCAGUGUUGGGCGGCCAGGGCAGGUGCCAGGGAGAUGCAGGCGGGAUGGCCUUUGGCCAGAGUGGGCGGUGCCAGCCUCUGCUUUGAGUCGUGAGUGUCCACCUGGUCGGGCCCAGGCUCAAGCCCUCAUCCUUCCCCCGAGUGGGAUGGAGGAGAAGCAAGGGAGACGUCAGGGUCACUGUGCGAGCUGGCUCUAGGGCAGACCUGUGGCUGUGUAAGGUCCCCCUAUCCUCGUGCAACAAGCAGCAGCAGAGUGAUGCUGGGAGGCGGGGGAUGGGAACCCCGAGCGGGCACUGGGGCAGAGGAGUAGGAGGAAUUGCUGCUUUCUGUGACGGCUCCACUCUAAAACUCCCCGACCCGCACGCCCUAGCCCGGGGCUACAGUGUGGCAGGAAGGACUCGCAAAGACUGUCAUGGCCAGAGGUCAUAGGACACUUUGGGUACCAAAACUCCCAUCUCAUACUGGACACCUGGCCUAUGUGUUGAUUUGCGGGAUGGUGGCCCCUACAUAACUUCUCUUAGGUUCCAGCACUCUGUACACCACUGUCCCCAAGAGCUCCUUCCUGUCAUGGGGCUCUUUGCUCAGGCGAAUUUCCUUUCCCUGGAAGAAAGUGAAGCCUCCACAGCAGCCUGUGUGGUGGGCAACUGGGGAAGGCUUUCAUCACCACCCCUGCAGCCAGGCAGAAGCUUCACCUUCAUGCACCCUUCUAUGGACGUAUCCGAUUCCUGGCGCCAGGACUAGGGCUCUGUACACUAAAUUAGGAGGCACCCCGGCUGCCAGUCAGCCUUCCUUGCAGCUUGGAUUAGCAGAGAAACAUUUAUGAUCAUUUCUAUAGAUGCUGAAAUGAUAACCAGUAAAAUUUAAAAUCCAUCCCUUACUGAACUCUCAGUAGGUUAAGAUGAGAAAGAAGCAUCUGGAUUUAGAUAAAGGAGUCUCCAUCUGAAACCAACAGUCAGUGGCAUUCUAAAGAGUCAGACACCACAGGCGUCCCCAUAAAUUCUGAAAUUAGCCAAGGACAUACUCUUGUUUUCAGGAGGUUCUGACACUGCUACCCCCUGCAGUGUGGCAGAGGAGAGAGCUGAGAAGGAUUGCACCUGUCGUUAUUGUAGGUGACAGCCGGCCAACCUGUACAGCCAGAGAUCAACUUAAGGCCGUAAUAGAGCAUACGCUGGGCCAGCGCCCACAGGGGAUGUCUCGUUCCUGUCGAGAUUCUCCCAGUCAGCUCCUACAUUUGGUGCAUUCCAGUGAGACUUGAUCUUUUUUGGAAUUUGACAGGUUCUCGUGUUCAUUUGAAGGAGUGACUGUAUGAGAACACUAAGAAAAUUCUGAAUGAUGAGUUGGGGGCAGGGGUGCUAGGUGUGGGGAAAAGGCGCUCAUCCCGUGGAAUUUCCAGGACUCCUGACCAACUGUGCGUUCAGUCGGUGUGACCUGGAGUGGGAUCAGACUGCUGGAACCAAAGAGGGAGCCUAGCCACAGACGCAAGGGUGUGGGGACUUGGUUACAAGAUACAAGGAAUAUUUUAAGUGGGAAAAAGAUGGAUUAUUUAAUAAACAGUACUUUAUGACAACUGCCUAUCAAAGUAAAA